GACGAACGCUGGCGGCGUGCUUAACACAUGCAAGUCGAACGGAAAGGCCCUGCUUUUGUGGGGUGCUCGAGUGGCGAACGGGUGAGUAACACGUGAGUAACCUGCCCUUGACUUUGGGAUAACUUCAGGAAACUGGGGCUAAUACCGGAUAGGAGCUCCUGCUGCAUGGUGGGGGUUGGAAAGUUUCGGCGGUUGGGGAUGGACUCGCGGCUUAUCCGCUUGUUGGUGGGGUAGUGGCUUACCAAGGCUUAGACGGGUAGCCGGCCUGAGAGGGUGACCGGCCACAUUGGUACUGAGGUACGCCCCAGACGCCUACGUGAGGCAACAGGGGGGAAUAUGGCACAAUGGGCGGAAGCCUGAUGCAGCAACGCCGCGUGCGGGAUGACGGCCUUCGGGUUGUAAACCGCUUUCGCCUGUGACGAAGCGUGAGUGACGGUAAUGGGUAAAGAAGCACCGGCUAACUACGUG
Molecule: ribosomal RNA, 468 nt
Filed under: uncultured bacterium
Lineage: Bacteria
Description: partial 16S ribosomal RNA
Rfam family: Bacterial small subunit ribosomal RNA
Source: RNAcentral